Molecule: ribosomal RNA, 712 nt
Filed under: Alexandrium catenella
Lineage: Eukaryota; Dinophyceae; Gonyaulacales; Pyrocystaceae
Description: eukaryotic LSU rRNA
Rfam family: Eukaryotic large subunit ribosomal RNA
Source: RNAcentral
CUAAGCGUGAAGUGAAGCACAUAAACCUGCUGAAUUUAAGCAUAUAAGUAAGUGGUGGAAAUUAAACCAACUGGGAUCUCUUCAGUAAUUGCGCAUGAACCAGGAUAUGCUUAGCUUGACAAAUGGAGCUGCUGGCUCUGAAUUGUAUUGUGGGAAUGUAUUACCAACAGAGGUGCAGGUGUCAGCCAUUUGAAAGAAAGCAUCAAUGAGGGUGAGAGUCCUGUUUGUCAUGUGCAGCCUUCUGUGCACGGUGUAUAUUUGCUGAGUCACACUCCUYGGCAUUGGAAUGCAAAGUGGGUGGUAAGUUUCAUGCAAAGGUAAAUAUGCAAUUGAGACUGAUAGCGCACAAGUACCAUGAGGGACAUAUGAAAAGGACUUUGAAMAGAGAAUUAAAUGAGUUUGUAUUUGCUAAACACAAAGUAAACAGACUUGAUUUCCUCAGUGAGAUUGUAGUGMUUGCUURACAAUGGGUUUUGGCUGCAAGUGCAAUAAUUCUUGCUUUGUGUGCCAGUUUUUAUGUGGACAUUUGAUUACCUUUGCACAUGAAUGGUAAUUUUCCUGCGGGGUGUGGAUUGCAUAUGCAUGUAAUGAUUUGCAUGUUUGUUAAAUGUGUCUGGUGUAUUUGUUUGUGUCCUUGUCCUUGAGGUUGCUUUCUCCCUUGGGCUUACAUGCCCUGGCACACACAUUCUGGCAAAAUGCUUCUGCUUGACCC